GCGCGGCUCAGAGAUGGGUUUCUGGACUCGCGAAGCAGCUGCAACAAGGCAUCACUCACUGUAUAAGUAUUUCCAUUUCUGAGAGCAAAAGGAAGAACUUAAGCGGGCGGCACUUGGAGUGUAAAUUGCUUUGUAGUAUUUAAAGGCAGAAUGGAUCCUGGGCAGCCGAGCUGAGUUGCUUCCCCCUUCUUUACUCCGAAAAAUCAACUUUUGAGCUUUUUCUUAAAUCCUAUAUCUCCUGGGAGGCUUUUUCUAACUCAUACACAAAGAUAGAUAUUCUGAAGCCUUAAAUUUGUACCUUGGUCACAAUCAUGAGGUUCCUGAGGCCUCCUAGCCAUGCUUCCUGUGCAGCCUAUGGAACUGAUCACUGUUGUAUUUUUAAACCUUAUUCCUGGAAGCACUACGGAUAUCAGAUCAAUUUAGAAAGCCAAAGAGUACCUCUGGGAAUGAAAUGGUAGUAAUAGAAACAAUAUUUGGCCAAACUAUCGCUGUAUGCCAAUGAUGCCAAAAAUCACAGUAACCUGGCAGCAACAAACCGGCAGGACUUCCUGUGAAAUCAUGACCACCAUGUGCUCUUUCAGCCUCUAUCAGUUCCUACCUCUAAGCACCUGAGAGCCAAAGCAAACCACAGGAAACCACAGGCCUUUGGAGUCAGACUGGAACUACAGCAUUGACUCUUCCGGAACUCCAGCUUACUGACUACAGAUCUUGGAACUUUUCAGCUUCCACAACCAUAAUGAAAGCCAAGCAUAUUCCAUCAUUUCCUAAAACCAAGAUAGAGCACAUAUGGGAACUUGUGAAAUAAGGAUGCCCUGCGGUUGUUUUCAGGACUGAAGACAACAGCUCCACGAUGUAUCUUUGCAUAAGAAUACACUUGUAUAAUAAGUUUUUUUUUUUAGAGAAAUUGCAUGUAUCUGCCUUAUAAACUUUUUCAUUCAUUCAUUUUCUUUCUUCCUAAUCUGUUCCAUAAAGCAAAUUUCUAACUUAUUGUUAAUCAAAAUAAUUAUUGAAAUAAUUAGUACUUUCAUAUGAUAAAGAUUAUUUUAAUCUGCAGCUACAA
This 1060-nucleotide long non-coding RNA is filed under the name Homo sapiens (human). RNAcentral's name for it is "long intergenic non-protein coding RNA 1322". The record is from RNAcentral. Lineage: Eukaryota; Metazoa; Chordata; Mammalia; Primates; Hominidae.